RNAcentral lists this ribosomal RNA (301 nucleotides) under uncultured bacterium. Its description in RNAcentral is "partial 16S ribosomal RNA". It matches the Rfam family "Bacterial small subunit ribosomal RNA", at positions 509 to 807 of the family's 1533-position model. The record is from RNAcentral.
CAGUCGCCACGGGAAAACGGAGGGGGCUAGCGUUGUUCGGAAUUACUGGGCGUAAAGCGCACGUAGGCGGCUUGGUAAGUUAGAGGUGAAAGCCUGGAGCUCAACUCCAGAAUUGCCUUUAAGACUGCCGAGCUAGCAGGUGAGAGAGGUAAGUGGAAUUCCGAGUGUAGAGGUGAAAUUCGUAGAUAUUCGGAAGAACACCAGUGGCGAAGGCGGCUUACUGGCUCAUACUGGACGCUGAGGUGCGAAAGCGUGGGGAGCAAACAGGAUUAGAUACCCCUGUAGUCCCUGUCUCUUAUAC